UACGUAGGUGGCAAGCGUUGUCCGGAAUUACUGGGUGUAAAGGGAGCGCAGGCGGGAGAGCAAGUCAGCGGUGAAAUACAUGGGCUUAACCCAUGAACUGCCGUUGAAACCGUUUUUCUUGAGUGGAGUAGAGGCAGGCGGAAUUCCGAGUGUAGCGGUGAAAUGCGUAGAUAUUCGGAGGAACACCAGUGGCGAAGGCGGCCUGCUGGGCUCUAACUGACGCUGAGGCUCGAAAGCGUGGGGAGCAAAC
RNAcentral lists this ribosomal RNA (250 nucleotides) under uncultured prokaryote. RNAcentral describes it as "partial 16S ribosomal RNA". It matches the Rfam family "Bacterial small subunit ribosomal RNA", at positions 524 to 773 of the family's 1533-position model. The record is from RNAcentral.